Molecule: ribosomal RNA, 59 nt
Filed under: Penicillium sp. FA 21
Lineage: Eukaryota; Fungi; Ascomycota; Eurotiomycetes; Eurotiales; Aspergillaceae
Description: partial 18S ribosomal RNA
Source: RNAcentral
CUUCCGUAGGGGUAACCUGCGGAAGGAUCAUUACCGAGUGAGGGCCUCUCUGGGUCCAA